AGGCUCAGUAACACGUCGAUAACUUGCCCUUAAGUCUGGGAUAACCUUGGGAAACUGAGGCUAAAACCGGAUAGGAAAUUAUGUCUGGAAUGAUUUAUUUCUUAAAAGCAAUGCUUAAGGAUAGGUCGGCGGCGGAUUAGGCUGUUGGUGAGGUAACGGCUCACCAAACCGAAGAUCCGUAGAGGUCUUGAGAGAGAUAGCCUCGAGAAGGGCACUGAGAUACUGGCCCUAGCCCUACGGGGUGCAGCAGGCGCGAAACCUUUACAAUGCACGCAAGUGUGAUAAGGGAAUCCAAAGUGCUUUACUUUGUAAGGCUUUUGCCAAGCGUAAAUAGUUUGGCGAAUAAGUGGUGGGAAAGACUGGUGCCAGCCGCCGCGGUAACACCAGCGCCACGAGUGGCGAUCAUGUUUAUUUGGCCUAAAGCGUCCGUAGCUGGUUAAGUAAAUCUCUUGUGAAAUUGUUUCGCUUAACGAAACAGCGUGCAGGAGAGACUGCUUAGCUAGGGACCGGGAGGAGUCAGAGGUAUGCUGGGGGGAGCGGUAAAAUGCAAUAAUCCUCGGUAGACCACCUGUGGCGAAGGCGUCUGACUAGAACGGGUCCGACAGUGAGGGACGAAAGCCAGGGGAGCAAACCGGAUUAGAUACCCGAGUAGUCCUGGCCGUAAACGCUGCGAGCUAGGUGUUGCAUAUUCUUCGUGAAUAUGCAGUGUCGAAGCGAAGGUGUUAAGCUCGCCGCCUGGGAAGUAUGGUCGCAAGACUGAAACUUAAAGGAAUUGGCGGGGGAG
Molecule: ribosomal RNA, 784 nt
Filed under: uncultured archaeon
Lineage: Archaea
Description: bacterial SSU rRNA
Rfam family: Archaeal small subunit ribosomal RNA
Source: RNAcentral